UCAUUGAAAUAGGUGGUUAUAGAGCUGUCCUUGUCUGCUGAUAGGAUCACAGAGGAGCUGAGGAGGUACCCUCUACUGGGGGUAGGUGCCAGUUUCCAGAAGAUCAUUUUUUGCUCUGUAAAUAGUUAGAAGGUGCAUCUCCUGCCACGGGCCAGAGCUUUCGGUAUUUCUUCACAGGAGGCCUAAGAAUAGAUCCUUAUAUACAUGACCAACAAAGUUUUGCAUAGAAAUUUCAAACUAAAAAAAAUAUUGUAUAGUUUCAAAGUCAUCAGUCACCAAUAAAAAUUCCGGUGAUAAGUGCAUUUGAAAUGUCUGGGACAUGAAGAGCUGUUACAGUUAUGGGUUGUUUUAGAAACUUCAUGGCAAUGUUUUGGGCUUACAGUCUCUGCCAAGGACAGUCAUGUGGCAUCUACAGGAUUUCAGGAGGACAUGAAAAUCUACUUGUUUGGUCCAUUUGGCCAUCCCCUUCUCUUCUGGUGAAGUAUUCAUGCAAAACACUUUAUGAGUUUCCACAUUUUUCUCUCUUCCACUAGACUCACCACAAGGCCACACAUACUGAAACAACCAAAGAAGAGCAUUGCAGCUGUUUCCUUACUGCAUAAAGAAUGUUUUUGCAGGUAUUGACCCUGUGCUGAGUUGAGAAAUGUGUCUAGACCAGGUUCAUCAAUUUGGAGCAACCGUUUAGGAGUCCAUUGCUCCCAAAGAUACCUCCAGGUCCCAGGGACUGACACUCCCAGGGGCCCUCAGCAGACCCCAGCAGUCUCUCCUGCUCAACUUGCUGAGUGAAAAUGAGUGAACAGAGGUAGUGGAAACCAGAUGGUCAGAAACAUACUAAAGGCUCUCCUGAAGGGAAUUUAAUUGAGAGGGAAGGAUUUGUCACCUUUCACUUCUCCCUAUCAGGGCUUCUGAAAUUUGGCAGAGCUCGUCAUGGAUCUGAAGUCUAUUCCUACUAAAUAAAUUAGUGAAUCAGUGACUAACAUUAGAACUAAAUCAUCAUGAGAUUACAAUGCAUGCAAAUUGCUGCCACUGCAAUGAUAUGUGAGAUUAAAACAGGUAUGCAGAGUAUUUAUAGGACUGAUGGAAGCAUUUGUGCCAUUUGUAGUGUGUUUAAUGAUCAAGUAGAGGGCAAAAGUAGCAUCGUGCUCAGUGACAUGAUGU
Long non-coding RNA from Corapipo altera (White-ruffed manakin), 1158 nucleotides. RefSeq lists it as uncharacterized. NCBI's taxonomy places the organism in Eukaryota, Metazoa, Chordata, Aves, Passeriformes, Pipridae. The transcript is spliced from 3 exons. The record is from RefSeq and is a predicted model, not a curated record.